Transfer RNA from Camelus ferus (Wild Bactrian camel), 72 nucleotides. It matches the Rfam family "tRNA". From Rfam's summary of the family: Transfer RNA (tRNA) molecules are approximately 80 nucleotides in length. The record is from Rfam. NCBI's taxonomy places the organism in Eukaryota, Metazoa, Chordata, Mammalia, Artiodactyla, Camelidae.
GAGGGUAUAGCUCAGUGGUAGAGUGCAUGUUUAGCAUGCACAAGGUCCUGGGUUCAAUCCCCAGUACCUCCA